Molecule: small nucleolar RNA, 83 nt
Organism: Podarcis muralis (Common wall lizard)
Lineage: Eukaryota; Metazoa; Chordata; Lepidosauria; Squamata; Lacertidae
Product: small nucleolar RNA SNORD45
Source: Ensembl
GAUCUGUGAUGAUUUUUUGUAUAUAUCUGACAAUAAAGUUGAUGUCUGUCACCAUUUUAGCUCUAGAAUUACUCUGAGAUCUG